AGAGGACUCUGAUCCUGGAUGCGUAAUGCCAAGCCUCGGCACGGAAGGGAAAUGUCUUCCUUCUGGAUGGCCUCCUUUCAAUUUUCGGUCACAAUGAAAUUACUUGUCUUCUUUUGUGAUUCAGAGUGUGGGAAGGAAGAUGAUAAGAGCAUCUACUGAGGUCUGCAGGGUCCUCUUCAGCCUCAGCCCCAGAAGCCCUCCCAGAAGAGCUAUGGCACCAGGUGCCAGCCAAGGACCAGGAGAAGGAUUUAGCCCAAUGGAUAAAGUUUGUUCCUUCGGCUGCGUCAGGCAGCUGGAGCAGACCUUCAAACAUAAACCCAAGUCAUCCAGGGCACGGAGGGGAUUUGUGAUCCUCCCUGGAGGCUGUUGGCUCCAAAUCCCAAGAAUGUGUUAUAUGAAAAAAUAAAUGCCUUUUUUUGCCAUCUGUGA
Molecule: long non-coding RNA, 429 nt
Filed under: Homo sapiens (human)
Lineage: Eukaryota; Metazoa; Chordata; Mammalia; Primates; Hominidae
Description: HSALNT0092612
Source: RNAcentral